This 560-nucleotide ribosomal RNA is filed under the name Anoxybacillus flavithermus subsp. yunnanensis. RNAcentral describes it as "bacterial SSU rRNA". It matches the Rfam family "Bacterial small subunit ribosomal RNA", at positions 37 to 579 of the family's 1533-position model. Lineage: Bacteria; Bacillati; Bacillota; Bacilli; Caryophanales; Anoxybacillaceae. The record is from RNAcentral.
CAGAUGCGGGUGCUAUACAUGCAGUCGAGCGGACGAAUCAAAAGCUUGCUUUUGAUUCGUUAGCGGCGGACGGGUGAGUAACACGUGGGCAACCUGCCCUGUAGACGGGGAUAACACCGAGAAAUCGGUGCUAAUACCGGAUAACACGAAAUGUCGCAUGACGUUUCGUUGAAAGACGGUGCAAGCUGUCGCUACAGGAUGGGCCCGCGGCGCAUUAGCUAGUUGGUGAGGUAACGGCUCACCAAGGCGACGAUGCGUAGCCGACCUGAGAGGGUGAUCGGCCACACUGGGACUGAGACACGGCCCAGACUCCUACGGGAGGCAGCAGUAGGGAAUCUUCCGCAAUGGACGAAAGUCUGACGGAGCAACGCCGCGUGAGCGAAGAAGGCCUUCGGGUCGUAAAGCUCUGUUGUUAGGGAAGAACAAGUAGCGCAGUCACUGGCGUUACCGUGACGGUACCUAACGAGAAAGCCACGGCUAACUACGUGCCAGCAGCCGCGGUAAUACGUAGGUGGCAAGCGUUGUCCGGAAUUAUUGGGCGUAAAGCGCGCGCAGGCGGU